GGAUGUGAGGAUGAUCUAGCUGCAGCAUCUGCCAUCCCAUUGAUUGAGCUCUAGGGUUUACUGGUAAAUCUGGCUGAUUAGACAUGUGUCUCAUCCCUCCCACAAAGUUUCAUGUAGACCCUUCCCAAGGCAUGACACCCCUUCCCAGCCCCAUUCUUUGGUAAAGGGCAUUCAAAUAGUUGUGCUCCUACACUAGAAUCUCCAAACAGUUUUACAGUCUCAUCUAACUUGACUCACAUACAACCUUUGGCAAUAUU
RNAcentral lists this small RNA (257 nucleotides) under Jaculus jaculus (lesser Egyptian jerboa). RNAcentral describes it as "7SK RNA (ENSJJAG00000009438.1)". It matches the Rfam family "7SK RNA", at positions 1 to 248 of the family's 331-position model. Rfam says of the family: 7SK was discovered as an abundant small nuclear RNA in the mid-70s but a possible function has only recently been suggested. The record is from RNAcentral. Lineage: Eukaryota; Metazoa; Chordata; Mammalia; Rodentia; Dipodidae.